Long non-coding RNA from Dromaius novaehollandiae (emu), 632 nucleotides. RefSeq lists it as uncharacterized. NCBI's taxonomy places the organism in Eukaryota, Metazoa, Chordata, Aves, Casuariiformes, Dromaiidae. The transcript is spliced from 3 exons. The record is from RefSeq and is a predicted model, not a curated record.
UCGCACGUUGCCAAACAUGGUCAUUUGCGUCGCACUACGCGAGCGCGGGUUUCCUCGCCGCGGAUGACGUGCUCCGAGAGGGAUUCCCUGCUCCGCCGGCCGCCGCUCCGGCUGGAUUUAAAGGGGAACGGCGCCGCCGCGCCCGCCGUGCCGUGGGUUCGAGACCGCCGCCCGGCUCGGGGCGGGGGGGGGGGAUCCGGCCCGGGGGCGGCGGCGGUCUCCGGGGGGGAUCCGAGGAGCAGCCGCCGAGGCCCCGAGCCAGUGCGGAUCCCUUCGUCCUGCUGGGAGCCGGCUGCAGAGCCGCUCCGGCUCCCAAGCCGCAGCAUGUCACGGUAGCGGUAGGUAUCGAGUCGAGGCUGAUUUACGGCAAAAACUCGAGGACGAGGACUGUGACAACCCACUUCAAACGGGGGUUGCGUUGCGAGGUUAGCGCCUGAACCAGGCUGGAAGGCAGCGGCAGCAAUCGCGGCAGAGCUGUCCUCACCCAGAACAGGGACUUCUGAUGAUCUGCACAUGCUUGAUUCUGCUGGAAAGAGAAUUAGUUCAAGAUGCGAGAGGAAUUAGCCUGCAGUUGUUAAGAGACGAACAGAGACGGAAAAACACACAUUGUAAUAAAAAUAACCUUAACGAAA